Molecule: ribosomal RNA, 429 nt
Filed under: Actinomycetes bacterium
Lineage: Bacteria; Bacillati; Actinomycetota; Actinomycetes
Description: Actinobacteria bacterium partial 16S ribosomal RNA
Rfam family: Bacterial small subunit ribosomal RNA
Source: RNAcentral
UAGGGAAUCUUCCGCAAUGGGCGAAAGCCUGACGGAGCAACGCCGCGUGAGUGAUGAAGGUCUUCGGAUCGUAAAACUCUGUUAUUAGGGAAGAACAAAUGUGUAAGUAACUAUGCACGUCUUGACGGUACCUAAUCAGAAAGCCACGGCUAACUACGUGCCAGCAGCCGCGGUAAUACGUAGGUGGCAAGCGUUAUCCGGAAUUAUUGGGCGUAAAGCGCGCGUAGGCGGUUUUUUAAGUCUGAUGUGAAAGCCCACGGCUCAACCGUGGAGGGUCAUUGGAAACUGGAAAGCUUGAGUGCAGAAGAGGAAAGUGGAAUUCCAAGUGUAGCGGUGAAAUGCGCAGAGAUAUGGAGGAACACCAGUGGCGAAGGCGACUUUCUGGUCUGUAACUGACGCUGAUGUGCGAAAGCGUGGGGAUCAAACAGG